RNAcentral lists this ribosomal RNA (404 nucleotides) under uncultured bacterium. Its description in RNAcentral is "bacterial SSU rRNA". It matches the Rfam family "Bacterial small subunit ribosomal RNA", at positions 355 to 775 of the family's 1533-position model. The record is from RNAcentral.
UUAGGAAUAUUGCGCAAUGGGGGCAACCCUGACGCAGCAACGCCGCGUGAGUGAAGAAGGCCUUCGGGUUGUAAAGCUCUUUUGACAGGGACGACACACGACGGUACCUGUCGAAUAAGCACCGGCUAACUCUGUGCCAGCAGCCGCGGUAAUACAGAGGGUGCAAGCGUUAUUCGGAAUUAUUGGGCGUAAAGAGCGCGUAGGCGGCUUAGCAAGUUUAGUGUGAAAUCCCUGGACUCAAUCCAGGAAGUGCAUUGAAUACUGCUAGGCUAGAGUGCGGGAGAGGAGAGUGGAAUUCCUGGUGUAGAGGUGAAAUUCGUAGAUAUCAGGAGGAACAACAGAGGCGAAGGCGACUCUCUGGACCGCUACUGACGCUGAGGCGCGAAAGUGUGGGGAGCAAACAG